GGCUGCCGGAAACUGUUCAAUGCCGUCACCGCUGGGUUAGGCGCAGGCAGAUGGACGCGACGCUGGAGGACUGCGGACGCCGGAAGAUGGGCGCGCCGCUGUCGGACUCGCGCCUGGGCAGGGGGCUGUCGGACUCGCGCCUAGGCAGGGGACGAGGACGGCAGUCGGCAGCGGGCCUCGCGCCUACACACGCGCCGACGAUUCUCCGGCAGUAUAUGAAGCGGAUCCGCAGUGGCGGCGCUCUGGGGAUGAGAAUAAGAGCACGGUGGAGAUGAGAAUGCUAAGAGAUGGAAAGAGUUUAUUAAAAAGCUUGUCUGGAAUUACCCCACUGUUAUCCUUAAGUACUCAGAACCCACACGCCGGGCUGGAGAAGGAGGUGGCAGACGUAGCGGCAGCGUCGCGGCGGCUGUUAGCCGGAGAGGGAGGCGCCUGCAGAUUUGGGAGAGGGGUGAACGCUGCUUUGUGUGCGUGUGUUCACAGAUUUGAGAGAGAGAACGAGAUUUAACAGAGAGAAGGAACUUGGGCCUUAAUGUAUGGUCUUAAGCUUUAUUUUGUUAAUGGGCUGAAUUUGCUUUUUAACAUAUUUAAAUUUUUGGAUUUAUAUUAUUAAUUGAAAUUGGGCUCUUAAUUUCAAUUAAUUUAGGCCUGCAAUAUAAUU
Long non-coding RNA from Salvia miltiorrhiza (redroot sage), 658 nucleotides. RefSeq lists it as uncharacterized. The record is from RefSeq and is a predicted model, not a curated record. NCBI's taxonomy places the organism in Eukaryota, Viridiplantae, Streptophyta, Magnoliopsida, Lamiales, Lamiaceae. The transcript has 2 exons.